Molecule: long non-coding RNA, 1009 nt
Filed under: Malus domestica (apple)
Lineage: Eukaryota; Viridiplantae; Streptophyta; Magnoliopsida; Rosales; Rosaceae
Description: long non-coding RNA (MDOM_LNC018186)
Source: RNAcentral
UAUGAAGGAGCUAUCUAAGCUUUGUUUGGGUGGCACUGCAAUUAAGGAGCUGCCUGCUUCUAUUUUAAAUCUCACCAGUCUUGUUACUUUGAAGUUGAAUGAUUGCAGAGAACUUGAGAGUCUUCCAAGCAGCAUUUUCAACAUGAAAUCUCUUAAAUACCUUGAUGUUUCUGGAUGCUCAAAGCUUGAGAAGUUUCCAGAAAUUUCAGAGGUUAUGAAUCUGUCUAGCCUUUAUUUGGAUGGGACUGCAAUUAAGGAGCUGCCUACUUCUAUUUUAAAUCUCACCAGUCUUGUUACUUUGAAGUUGAAUGAUUGCAGAGAACUUGAGAGUCUUCCAAGCAGCAUUUCUCACAUGAAAUCUCUUAAAUACCUUUAUGUUUCUGGAUGCUCAAAGCUUGAGAAGUUUCCAGAAAUUUCAGAGGUUAUGAAGGAGCUAUCUAUUCUUUGUUUGGGUGGCAAUGCAAUUAAGGAGCUGCCUGCUUCUAUUUUAAAUCUCACCAGUCGUUAUACUUUGAAGCUGAAUGAAUGCAGAGAACUUGAGAGUCUUCCAAGCAGCAUUUCUCACAUGAAAUCUCUUAUAUACCUUGAUGUUUCUGGAUGCUCAAAGCUUGAGAAGUUUCCAGAAAUUUUGGAGGUUAUGAACGAGCUAUCUACGCUUUGUUUGGGUGGCAAUGCAAUUAAGGAGCUGCCUGCUUCUAUUUUAAAUCUCACCAGUCUUGUUACUUUGAAGUUGAAUGAUUGCAGAGAACUUGAGAGUCUUCCAAGCAGCAUUUCUCACAUGAAAUCUCUUAAAUACCUUUAUGUUUCUGGAUGCUCAAAGCUUGAGAAGUUUCCAGAAAUUUCAGAAGUUAUGAAGAAGCUAUCUGAGCUUUGUUUGGAUGACACUGCAAUUAAGGAGCUGCCUGCUUCUAUUUUAAAUCUCACCAGUCUUGUUAUUUUGAUGUUGAAUGAUUGCAGAGAACUUGAGAGUCUUCCAAGCAGCAUUUUUCACAUGAAAUCUAUUAAAUAC